This 535-nucleotide ribosomal RNA is filed under the name Rhodococcus ruber. RNAcentral's name for it is "bacterial SSU rRNA". It matches the Rfam family "Bacterial small subunit ribosomal RNA", at positions 372 to 917 of the family's 1533-position model. The record is from RNAcentral. Lineage: Bacteria; Bacillati; Actinomycetota; Actinomycetes; Mycobacteriales; Nocardiaceae.
UGGGCGCAAGCCUGAUGCAGCGACGCCGCGUGAGGGAUGACGGCCUUCGGGUUGUAAACCUCUUUCAGUACCGACGAAGCGCAAGUGACGGUAGGUACAGAAGAAGCACCGGCCAACUACGUGCCAGCAGCCGCGGUAAUACGUAGGGUGCGAGCGUUGUCCGGAAUUACUGGGCGUAAAGAGCUCGUAGGCGGUUUGUCGCGUCGUCUGUGAAAACCCGCAGCUCAACUGCGGGCUUGCAGGCGAUACGGGCAGACUUGAGUACUGCAGGGGAGACUGGAAUUCCUGGUGUAGCGGUGAAAUGCGCAGAUAUCAGGAGGAACACCGGUGGCGAAGGCGGGUCUCUGGGCAGUAACUGACGCUGAGGAGCGAAAGCGUGGGUAGCGAACAGGAUUAGAUACCCUGGUAGUCCACGCCGUAAACGGUGGGCGCUAGGUGUGGGUUUCCUUCCACGGGAUCCGUGCCGUAGCUAACGCAUUAAGCGCCCCGCCUGGGGAGUACGGCCGCAAGGCUAAAACUCAAAGGAAUUGACGGG